CGCAUCGUUCGGUGCUUUCUGGGGAUCGUCAUGGCUUUUGAUUGUUCACAUUGCCUUUGUGCCUUGUGGGUUGUCACUAGUUUCACGGUUCUUGUGAAUCCCAUCGUAAAGGUGCAUGAGUUGUGCUUGGUUUGUUACGGGUGGUUGGCUCUUUGCAUGCGCAACAACUUCCACCUGGCAUACCUCUUCAGUUGUUUGUUUAGGCUUGUAUAGCCUAGCCAAACUGUUGGUUUCUGUGUUGCCUACCUAAGCUAUGGUAUUGUGUUGGUUGAUCAAAGAUGAUUUCGUCUUGUGUCACUCUUGUGGCAUUGGAUGAACCAUGAAGCGGUCUCUUUGAUCCACAAUGUUAGCGCGUGCGUUGAUGUUGUGGCUUGUUGAGCGUUGCUUGGUAUCAUGGAUAUGGAAAACAAUGUGGGCAUGGGGUCUCAUGGGAUCCUUUUGUUGUCCUCAUUUAGCGUUUGUGYCWMWSUUAACUYGACUUACUGUCUUGCCYGAAYYGGCUWUGCCAWCRGGAGGGUYUGYYARWGUUWACAYGACUUACUGUCUUGCCUGAAUUGGCUYUGCCAWCGGGAGGGUUUGUUAGAGUUAACACGACUUACUGUCUUGCCUGAGCCAUCAGGAGGGUCUGUCAAAGUUAACUYGACWUACUGUCUUGCCCGAACCGGCUUUGCCAACAGGAGGGUUUGUCAAAGAGUGGCGCAUCCCCUUGAGUGACCUGCUUGUCCCGUGUUGGCUUGUACCAGCGGGCGGGUUUUGUCAACGAGGAAUGC
This 770-nucleotide unclassified non-coding RNA is filed under the name Bidens schimperi. RNAcentral describes it as "partial external transcribed spacer". The record is from RNAcentral. Lineage: Eukaryota; Viridiplantae; Streptophyta; Magnoliopsida; Asterales; Asteraceae.